AUUAGCACUGCUACAUUUUACUAGAAUAUGAUAGAGGAGUUAUACUGUUAUUCUCCCCUUUGCUUUUUCGCUGAAGCUCGUUUACGGACAACACUUCCCCUGGAACUGGAUCACGAUCACGAAAGAUAAAACCCGAAGGAUAAGAUUUUCAACAGAACCAAAACUCAAGAGCGGUACCCAAAACAAAGAUGUGGUUUGCAAGGGAAGCAGUGGUCAAAUAUCCUGUUCAAACUAAACAGAAUUCUCGUCAGAUCCGUUACUGAUGGACUGACCUGCCAUUGUGUGAUACUGAUAGUGCGCCGAAGGACCUCUCUGACAUGAAAACGGCUAUUUCUGGAAGAUAAUGUACUGCUGGGAAUAAUUUAUACUCUAUGUUAAAUUGUUAAUGGUCUCCUUCUCCUUAAACUGUAAAACAUACACUAUAUAUAG
This is a long non-coding RNA of Bolinopsis microptera, 429 nucleotides long. RefSeq lists it as uncharacterized. Lineage: Eukaryota; Metazoa; Ctenophora; Tentaculata; Lobata; Bolinopsidae. The transcript is spliced from 3 exons. The record is from RefSeq and is a predicted model, not a curated record.